CUACGGGCCGCAGCAGUGGGGAAUCUUGCACAAUGGGCGAAAGCCUGAUGCAGCAACGCCGCGUGCGGGAAGAAGGCCCUAGGGUUGUAAACCGCUUUCAGUAGGGAAGAAAAUGACGGUACCUACAGAAGAAGGUGCGGCCAACUACGUGCCAGCAGCCGCGGUGACACGUAGGCACCAAGCGUUAUCCGGAUUUAUUGGGCGUAAAGAGCUCGUAGGCGGGUUGGUAAGUCGGGUGUGAAAACUCUGGGCUCAACCCAGAGACGCCACCCGAUACUGCUAUGACUAGAGUACGGUAGGGGAGCGGGGAAUUCAUGGUGUAGCGGUGAAAUGCGCAGAUAUCAUGAGGAACACCAGCGGCGAAGGCGCCGCUCUGGGCCGUAACUGACGCUGAGGAGCGAAAGCAUGGGUAGCAAACAGGAUUAGAUACCCUCGUAGUC
This 440-nucleotide ribosomal RNA is filed under the name uncultured bacterium. Its description in RNAcentral is "partial 16S ribosomal RNA". It matches the Rfam family "Bacterial small subunit ribosomal RNA", at positions 339 to 795 of the family's 1533-position model. The record is from RNAcentral.